RNAcentral lists this ribosomal RNA (331 nucleotides) under uncultured Butyrivibrio sp. RNAcentral's name for it is "bacterial SSU rRNA". It matches the Rfam family "Bacterial small subunit ribosomal RNA", at positions 28 to 339 of the family's 1533-position model. The record is from RNAcentral. Lineage: Bacteria; Bacillati; Bacillota; Clostridia; Lachnospirales; Lachnospiraceae.
GAUGAACGCUGGCGGCGUGCCUAACACAUGCAAGUCGAACGGAGAAUAUACGCUUCAGAAGCUUCGGCAGAUGAUUGUAUAUUCUUAGUGGCGGACGGGUGAGUAACGCGUGGGUAACCUGCCUCAUACUGGGGGAUAACAGCUGGAAACGACUGUUAAUACCGCAUAAGCGCACAGUGUCGCAUGACACAGUGUGAAAAACUCCGGUGGUAUGAGAUGGGCCCGCGUCAGAUUAGCCAGUUGGCGGGGUAACGGCCCACCAAAGCAACGAUCUGUAGCCGGACUGAGAGGUCGGACGGCCACAUUGGGACUGAGACACGGCCCAAACUCC